RNAcentral lists this ribosomal RNA (253 nucleotides) under uncultured bacterium. RNAcentral's name for it is "partial 16S ribosomal RNA". It matches the Rfam family "Bacterial small subunit ribosomal RNA", at positions 524 to 776 of the family's 1533-position model. The record is from RNAcentral.
UACGUAGGUGGCAAGCGUUGUCCGGAUUUAUUGGGUUUAAAGGGCGCGUAGGCGGCCUACUAAGUCAGACGUGAAAUCCCCCGGCUUAACCUGGGAACUGCGUCUGAUACUGGAAGGCUUGAGUAUGGGAGAGGGAUGCAGAAUUCCAGGUGUAGCGGUGAAAUGCGUAGAUAUCUGGAGGAAUACCGGUGGCGAAGGCGGCAUCCUGGACCAUUACUGACGCUGAGGCGCGAAAGCUAGGGGAGCAAACGGG